This 425-nucleotide ribosomal RNA is filed under the name uncultured bacterium. RNAcentral's name for it is "partial 16S ribosomal RNA". It matches the Rfam family "Bacterial small subunit ribosomal RNA", at positions 354 to 796 of the family's 1533-position model. The record is from RNAcentral.
GUGGGGAAUAUUGGACAACGGGCGCAAGCCUGAUCCAGCCAUGCCGCGUGAGUGAUGAAGGCCUUAGGGUUGUAAAGCUCUUUCAGUGGGGACGAUAAUGACGGUACCCACAGAAGAAGCCCCGGCUAACUUCGUGCCAGCAGCCGCGGUAAUACGAAGGGGGCUAGCGUUGUUCGGAUUUACUGGGCGUAAAGCGCACGUAGGCGGAUCGUUAAGUCGGGGGUGAAAUCCUGGAGCUCAACUCCAGAACUGCCUUCGAUACUGGCGAUCUUGAGUCCGGAAGAGGUGAGUGGAACUCCGAGUGUAGAGGUGAAAUUCGUAGAUAUUCGGAAGAACACCAGUGGCGAAGGCGACAUACUGGCUCAUUACUGACGCUGAGGCGCGAAAGCGUGGGGAGCAAACAGGAUUAGAAACCCCGGUAGUCC